ACACAUGCAAGUCGAGCGGUAGCACAGGGGAGCUUGCUCCCUGGGUGACGAGCGGCGGACGGGUGAGUAAUGUCUGGGAAACUGCCUGAUGGAGGGGGAUAACUACUGGAAACGGUAGCUAAUACCGCAUAACGUCGCAAGACCAAAGAGGGGGACCUUCGGGCCUCUUGCCAUCAGAUGUGCCCAGAUGGGAUUAGCUAGUAGGUGGGGUAAUGGCUCACCUAGGCGACGAUCCCUAGCUGGUCUGAGAGGAUGACCAGCCACACUGGAACUGAGACACGGUCCAGACUCCUACGGGAGGCAGCAGUGGGGAAUAUUGCACAAUGGGCGCAAGCCUGAUGCAGCCAUGCCGCGUGUGUGAAGAAGGCCUUCGGGUUGUAAAGCACUUUCAGCGAGGAGGAAGGUGGUGAGCUUAAUACGCUCAUCAAUUGACGUUACUCGC
Molecule: ribosomal RNA, 442 nt
Filed under: uncultured bacterium
Lineage: Bacteria
Description: bacterial SSU rRNA
Rfam family: Bacterial small subunit ribosomal RNA
Source: RNAcentral